Molecule: ribosomal RNA, 372 nt
Filed under: uncultured organism
Description: partial 16S ribosomal RNA
Rfam family: Bacterial small subunit ribosomal RNA
Source: RNAcentral
GUAGGUGGCAAGCGUUGUCCGGAAUUAUUGGGCGUAAAGCGCGCGCAGGCGGUUCUUUAAGUCUGAUGUGAAAGCCCACGGGCUCAACCGUGGAGGGUCAUUGGAAACUGGAGAACUUGAGUACAGAAGAGGAAAGCGGAAUUCCACGUGUAGCGGUGAAAUGCGUAGAGAUGUGGAGGAACACCAGUGGCGAAGGCGGCUUUCUGGUCUGUAACUGACGCUGAGGCGCGAAAGCGUGGGGAGCAAACAGGAUUAGAUACCCUGGUAGUCCACGCCGUAAACGAUGAGUGCUAAGUGUUAGGGGGUUUCCGCCCCUUAGUGCUGCAGCCAACGCAUUAAGCACUCCGCCUGGGGAGUACGGCCGCAAGGCUG